GUGUGCGUUUGGCAGCGCUCAAGUGUGAGUGUAUUAGAGCGUAAGACGUUCGAUAUUCUUGCUGUUGUUAUUGUUUUGCGGAGGAAAAAAUCCCACGGCGUUGCGAUCGAAAACUUGGGAACAGCCAUUCGAACUAGCGUCUACCUAGUUUUCUGCAUAACGACGAAACACACACAUUAAAACAUUCAGCGGCUCUUGAGCAAAUCAAAAAGUCCAAGAAAGCCAAGAAUUCUAGGCGACGUGGCAGCUCGCGCUGAUCAAGAAUAUAGAUAGUCUAGAAGACCAACAGAGAUUCCACCACUGCUAACAUCCAAACCUAUUGUCAUUUAUCAUAUUUAAUUAUAUAUAUGCAUGGUAGAGCGUGCUGUUUCUUACAUACCGUUGCAGUUUGAACUCUCCCAAAAAAAACUUAUUUAGCAGGCUUUACUUCACAGUAUUACGAAAUGGACUUAAAGGUUCGUCGAUCGGAGAAUACCAAAUACAUAUACACGAACUAAAUACGGCGAAUUUUCCAACUCGUAUAUAUACAAAAUGAGAAGACGGCCAAAAAAUGUACAAAUGAGCGAACAAAAGGAAAAGAAAGGAGAAAUUUUCGAGUAUUUCAACUAUAAAAGAAACUACGAUAUUUGCGGGUAAGAUAAGUAAUAUCUAUUAGUGUAAUAUAUAUUAGUGUUGUAUGAUAAAAAAGAGCUUUUUAAAAAUAAAUGCAAAAACUUGCAA
Long non-coding RNA from Drosophila yakuba, 720 nucleotides. RefSeq lists it as uncharacterized. The record is from RefSeq and is a predicted model, not a curated record. The transcript is spliced from 2 exons. Lineage: Eukaryota; Metazoa; Arthropoda; Insecta; Diptera; Drosophilidae.